AGUCACUGACAUUAGAUACCCCUGUAGUCCAGGGUGUAAACGCUGCAGACUUGGUGUUGGGAACCCUUCGGGGGUGCUCAGUGCCGGAGAGAAGUUGUUAAGUCUGCUACUUGGGGAGUACGUCCGCAAGGAUGAAACUUAAAGGAAUUGGCGGGGGAGCACCGCAACGGGAGGAGCGUGCGGUUUAAUUGGAUUCAACGACCGAAAAACUCACCAGCAGCGACUGUUACAUGAAAGUCAGGUUGAUGACCUUACUAGAUUUUCAG
Molecule: ribosomal RNA, 266 nt
Filed under: uncultured archaeon
Lineage: Archaea
Description: partial 16S ribosomal RNA
Rfam family: Archaeal small subunit ribosomal RNA
Source: RNAcentral